Molecule: non-coding RNA, 69 nt
Organism: Podarcis lilfordi (Lilford's wall lizard)
Lineage: Eukaryota; Metazoa; Chordata; Lepidosauria; Squamata; Lacertidae
Source: the annotation of a GenBank genome assembly
GCACCGCUCAGUGGGUACAGCAUGAGACUCUGAAUCUCAGGGUUGUGGGUUUGAGCCCCACGUUGGGCA